GGCGAGGGGAGUGAAAAAGAACCUGAAACCGUGUACGUACAAGCAGUGGGAGCACCUUCGGGUGUGACUGCGUACCUUUUGUAUAAUGGGUCAGCGACUUAUAUUCAGUAGCAAGGUUAACCGUAUAGGGGAGCCGCAGGGAAACCGAGUCUUAACUGGGCGUUAAGUUGCAGGGUAUAGACCCGAAACCCGGUGAUCUAGCCAUGGGCAGGUUGAAGGUUGGGUAACACUAACUGGAGGACCGAACCGACUAAUGUUGAAAAAUUAGCGGAUGACUUGUGGCUGGGGGUGAAAGGCCAAUCAAACCGGGAGAUAGCUGGUUCUCCCCGAAAGCUAUUUAGGU
Molecule: ribosomal RNA, 343 nt
Filed under: Acinetobacter baumannii
Lineage: Bacteria; Pseudomonadati; Pseudomonadota; Gammaproteobacteria; Moraxellales; Moraxellaceae
Description: partial 23S ribosomal RNA
Rfam family: Bacterial large subunit ribosomal RNA
Source: RNAcentral